This 1020-nucleotide long non-coding RNA is filed under the name Helianthus annuus (common sunflower). RNAcentral's name for it is "hypothetical non coding rna". The record is from RNAcentral. Lineage: Eukaryota; Viridiplantae; Streptophyta; Magnoliopsida; Asterales; Asteraceae.
UAAAGGGUAAAAAUAAAAACGGUUUUGGUGGGUAAAAGGGUUUUAAGGUAAAGAAGUGAAAGGUUUAGGCUCAAAGGGAUUAACUAGGGGGAGUUUUUGGGUAGGUGAAAAGAAAAAUGAAAAUAAUGGUUUUGAAAGAAAAAAGGGUUAGUCCUAAUGCCUCCAUCAUUUACUUACUUGGGUUUAAGUUGGUAAGGCCCGGGAAUGAAUCGUCGUGGCAAGUUCUAGAGUCGUAAGAACCAAGCGGCUAUUCACACAAGAAACGAAAAAUGAGCAUUUAGUCUAAAGAUGUGUAUUUGUAUGCUCAAUAAAGGCUCAAAACUCACUUUUUGUGGGAAUGGGUUUUUCUAUGUGAUCAAUUGUUUUUAUCACGACGCUAUCGGUUGUAAACUUGUAAAAAUAUAACCUUUUUAGAACUUGUUAUUCCCAAAUUAAACCAAGACAAGUAAAAAAAAUGAAAAGUUUUUGAAAAAAUUUGGGGUGAUUAGCGGUUCCAAUAGAGUUUUGUGUAAGGCUUGUUAUUAGGACUUACAAAAUUUCAAGGUUUAAGCAUCCCCCCCCACUUAAAUUACACAUUGUCCUCAAUGUGUCCCAAAAAUAAAUUUUUAGGUUGAUUGAAUGUGUAACAUGGUGUUUAAAAGCAAAAAUUAAUGUUACUGGCAGUAUGGACACGACCCCGUGUCCAUUGGACACAACCCCGUGGUGAACUGCCAGUAAUGAAAACUUACAGAAGGUGGCCACGGGGGCGUGUUGGCUAGACACGGCCCCGUGUCUGGAAAAAAUCUACAGGAAAGUAACCAAAAAGCAGGUCUGUGAGGUGAGCACGGGGGCGUGUCGGCUGAACACGUCCCCGUGUGGACAGUCUGUAAGCCUGAAAAAUAGGUUCCAGCCUCCGGUUUUUCCAUCCUGGCUUUAUGAGUGCUAAGGCUUAGCACUCUAAGCCUCGGUUUGUACCUGUUUCAUCACUAAAUACCACACCAAGCAACACAAACAUCCUACAUUACCAUAGUUAAUUGUUCC